This 360-nucleotide ribosomal RNA is filed under the name uncultured Thiobacillus sp. RNAcentral's name for it is "bacterial SSU rRNA". It matches the Rfam family "Bacterial small subunit ribosomal RNA", at positions 1017 to 1382 of the family's 1533-position model. The record is from RNAcentral. Lineage: Bacteria; Pseudomonadati; Pseudomonadota; Betaproteobacteria; Nitrosomonadales; Thiobacillaceae.
CCGAACGGGAAUCGGAACACAGGUGCUGCAUGGCUGUCGUCAGCUCGUGUCGUGAGAUGUUGGUUAAGUCCGCACGAGCGCAACCCUUAUCAUUAGUUGCUACGCAAGGGCACUCUAAUGAGACUGCCGGUGGACAAACCCGGAGGAAGGUGGGGAGUGACGUCAAGUCCUCAUGGCCCUUAUGGGUAGGGCUUCACACGUCAUACAAUGGUCGGUACAGAGGGUUGCCAAGCCGCGAGGCGGAGCCAAUCCCACAAAGCCGAUCGUAGUCCGGAUUGUUCUCUGCAACUCGAGAGCAUGAAGUCGGAAUCGCUAGUAAUCGCAGGUCAGCAUACUGCGGUGAAUACGUUCCCGGGUCUU